RNAcentral lists this ribosomal RNA (253 nucleotides) under uncultured bacterium. Its description in RNAcentral is "partial 16S ribosomal RNA". It matches the Rfam family "Bacterial small subunit ribosomal RNA", at positions 524 to 776 of the family's 1533-position model. The record is from RNAcentral.
UACGAAGGGUGCAAACGUUGCUCGGAAUUAUUGGGCGUAAAGCGCACGUAGGCGGCAUUGCAAGUCCCAUGUGAAAGCCCACGGCUUAACCGUGGAAGUGCAUGGGAAACUGCAGUGCUUGAGUACUUAAGAGGAUCGCGGAAUUCCCGGUGUAGAGGUGAAAUUCGUAGAGAUGCGGAGGAACACCGAUGGCGAAGGCAGCCCCCUGGGUCGACACUGACGCUCAGGCACGAAAGCGUGGGGAGCAAACAGG